Sesamum indicum (sesame) is the source of this 3180-nucleotide non-coding RNA. NCBI's taxonomy places the organism in Eukaryota, Viridiplantae, Streptophyta, Magnoliopsida, Lamiales, Pedaliaceae. The record is from RefSeq and is a predicted model, not a curated record.
AUUACCCCCCUCACCGAUCAGACAACCAUUAUCCCCCUCACCGAUCAGACAAGUUUGAAGAAACAGAAAACCCUCAAAUCAUCACAAAAAACCCUAAAAAAUCACCACCAGACCCCCUCAAAAUCAAUGUCUUCUUUCCUGCAUUUCUCUCUGUUCCACCAUCAAAUCCCCAGUUCCAGUCUCACCUUCAUUUCCCCUUUCCUCGUCACUUCUCACCAAUAUAAUGGGGAAAGAAAAUCAAGAAAACAUGGUUAUGUGGGUUUAAACAAAAUCAAGAAAAACAGCAGGGAUAAAGAUUGGCUACUGAAAGCAAACUGGGGUAGUCAAAGCCGGAGGGUGUCAUUCCGCCUUCUCUUGUCACUGAUGGAUAGUUCGCCUCUGCACCCACUGCUUCUUCGGAUGCCUCUCCCACUAGAAAGGAGGAAUGAACUGAGACUCGACUCGAAGUAGACCCAUUCGGUCAGUCUCGGCUUGGUUCCGUUAAUGGUUGAAAUGGAUGAUUUUUGAAGCACCCUUUCUUCUUUUUAUACACAGCGUUGGAGCUUUCCCAUUAGAGAUCGUACCCACGAUCGAAGGAAAGUGAGAUUUGUACAAAUAUAACCAAGAUAAAACUCCUGCAAAAAUUGAUACCAGCCUGUAGGUCCUGUACCGACAGAGUAGUGCGACAGGUAAAGCAUGGUUUCUAUAGCUAUGUUGAAUUCACUAACUCUAUUUGCAGUCCGUUGUUAUGUGGGCAAUCAAGAUUAAUAGCUAAUGAGAUCGAGCUAUUUCUUUUGUUUUUGAGUAGUUCCAUGUUCUGUAACUCCUUUUGGAUAUGUCUUCCGCAAAUUUUGAAUAUUUCUUUUGUCUUAAGGGCGGACUUGAUGGUAUUUAGAUCUAAACACAUUGAAGCUUGAUUGCCAAUGAUUGUUAAAAAUCUUUACUCGAGUACAAAACCCAUAUCUUGUUUUCUUGGUUUUCGGAAAUUGUCUAUACUGAGAACAUUCCUUUUUUCUUUUUUCCUUUUCAUGGUUUAAAUAUUGUAUUUCACCUUGUUUAAUCAUUUAUAGCCCUCCAGUUUGACGACACACAUUUUCUGAUCCCAGCCAUUGAAGUUGAUUCAUAUUGCAUUCAAUAUGUUAAAGUGGAAGAGAUAUUGCCAUUAUUUUCACAAAUAAUGCGUCAACCAUUAUGCGGAGUGAUCAGAUCUAUAAGUGGAGAAAUGUUUGUUAAUUUGUUGACACUAGGUAUCUAUGGUUGAUAAAAUUACAACCAUAGAGGAUAAGACCUAAAACCAAAUUAAGAAGGCCUAUCUUGGUUGACCUUUGAAAACUUCUCAUAAGGAAAUAGAGCAUCAAAUGUGGUUGUAAUAACUUCUAUGAAGGGAGUGAUAAAAAUUACUUGGAUCAGAUGUAGGGAUGACAUAGAAGAAAUAGCAUGCACGUAUGUGAUGUGCAUGUCAGACUAAAGCAAUCCAACAACUCAGUGUGAAUUCUCGUCAGGCAUUCAAAGGCAAUGAAUUUAGUUCAUCAGACUGCAUUAAGGUGUGGCGCAGAAGUGACAUGUCUUUACAUUCAGAGCUGGAUUUUCUGGGGCACUUCUGAAGUUUCUUACUUUUGCCUUGGAAAUAUACUAAAAGACUAUGGCCCCGGUACUCGUCAAUGCUAGCCGACAUCCUUGUGAAUUCACUCACUCUUUGAAAAUCAUCUAACUUGUGCACUAUCCAAGAGCAACCCACUAUUCAUCAGAAAGGAGGUGACAACCGUGUUGAAGAAAGCAUCCGAAUCACACACUAGGCCCCAGUAAAAAGUCUUUGCGUCCGACGAAGACUAUAAUUUGUAGCCUGGAGAUGGAGAUGGAGAUGAAUCAAUUUCUAAAGAUGUGCUGGGGACAAGCUUCACAGGAGCAGAAAACAAAUGAGAAAAGCAAUAUUCGAAAAAGAGGAGAAAAGAAAAAAAAAAGCUAUACACAAAAAGAAAGGAAAAAGAAACAGAAAAAAAAAGCGAUAUUCGAAAAAAGAAAAAGAAAUAGAAAAAAAAAGCGAUAUCCAAAAAAAGAAAAAGAAAAGAAGCAGAAAAAAGCAAUAUCUGGAAGAAAAAAGAAAAAACACACAAAAAAAGGAAUAUCCACAAGAAAAAGAAAAAAAGUGCUAUCCACUCUCCAACCUCGAGUUGCUGCUGUGGAUGUAAAGGCAAUUGAGUGAUUUGAAAAGAAAUUUUGCUCCUCGCCACACAGAAGAGACAACAGCUGAUAUUACUACGUAUGAGGCAAUCGAAGCUCUGAAAGAACCUCGGUGUCCUAAAACAUGUCGGGACCGUGUUUUGGAAGAGAUGGAUUGGUUGUCAAAGGAUUUUGAGUCAGAGAGGAAAUGGAAACUCGCUCAGGCCAAGAAAGUUGAAAUAAGAGCUAGCAAGAUCACGCUACAUACUACAAGAGGGGAGAAGAGUGUAAAGGUUUUAUACAAGCAUUAGUUAGAACUUGAUGAGAAGAAGAAGAAAGCACUUGAUAAGCAGAGCUUGAGUUCCUUCUUGGGCAAACCGAAAGAUAACAUAUUCUAAUCAUAACAGUUUGACUAUUUGCUGGGUGAAGCUAUAAUGAAACUAGAGGAGGUUCUACUAAUUGCAAAAGCAGAAAUGAGUUGAUUCAUGUUAUUUGUUGUUUCUCUUUGGGAUAGAAGUUUGUAUUGACCUCCAUAUAUAUGUAAAAAUAUUGAUACCUCCACUUCUCCUCUUUUAGGUGCUCGUCAAUGCUGGCCGAGACCCUGUGAAUUCCCCCACUCUUUGAAGAUCAUCUAACUUGUGCACUAUCAAAGAGCAACCCGCUAUUCCUGAGAAAGGAGGUGACGAACGUGUUAAAAUAAGCAUCCGAAUCACACAAUGGUACUCGUCAAUGCUGGCCGACAUCCUUGUGAAUUCACUCACUCUUUGAAAAUCAUCUAACUUGUGCACUAUUCGAGAGCAACCCACUAUUCAUCAGAAAGGAGGUGACAACCGUGUUAAAGAAAGCAUUCAAAUCACACACUAGGCCCCAGUAAAAAGUCUUUGCGCCCGACGAAGACUAUAAUUUGCAGCCUGGAGAUGGAGAUCGAGAUGAAUCAAUUUCUAAAGAUGUGCUGGGACAAGCUUCACAAGAGUAGAAAACAAAUGAGAAAAGCAAUAUUCGAAAAAGAUGGUAAAAGAAACACAAAAAAAAAAAAAAAAA